AUUCUGUACCUCCUUCGUAGUAUUUGGUACUAGAGUAGCACUCGAUUCAGUAGUCUCUUAGUAGUUGUUGGAACUUCGUAGACCUCCUCCUCCUCCUCCUACUAACCUCCUUCCUCCGUCCUCCCACAGAAUGCGCAUCUGACGAGCUCCUGGUUUGUAGCUCCUUGAGGUCCUUCUCUCUUCCCCUACUUGUGAACGGGUGGCCCAUUUAGGAGAUGGACAGUUGGGUGGUCCCCCGUGACUUCUCCUUUGCUUCUUAUGCUUCCUGCUGCUUCUCGUGCCUCCUGUUUGCUCCCUCUUAUAAUAUCCUUGGGUCCUAAUACAGAAUCUUGAAGUGCCUCAGAUCAAUGUGGUUGGCUCCUCUCUGGUUCCGUUUUAAUAAACGACGAGCAGUGGCCCCUCCAGUCUUGGCCCUUUCUGUUCAGUCGUCCUUCCGCAAGGACAUUCCAUUGAUCCCUUCUUGUAUAUGCCCUGAUGCAGUCCUGAUUUCCUCAUUUCUUGUUGAUCCUUUCUCGCACUACAGAUGAGCCCCUAGUUCCGUCAUUUGUAGCCGCUGACUGGUCGCUUAUGUCACUUAGAAAACGAUUUCUUUUUGAAAUCAUCAUUGGGGACAGUCGGUUUUCCUCCAUAACUGCUGGAAGAGGUCCUGCUGACAUCUGAUUUCCUCAUUUCAUUAUCCCAAUUGAUCAUAUAUCGCAUGUGUUCCUGAUUCAGUUUCUUCAAUUAGUUGGAUCUAGAUUCCACACCGUUUCAAAUGGUUGGAUAAGCUGAUAUUUCUUUGUAAAUGGAUAUGUCCUUGGUGCAUCCUUGAUGUUCUUGAAGCCAUAGGGGUCGACUUAUCCUCAGAUCCUUCUGGACGUGUGGUUCUCCUUUCUUUUGUUCCUGUUUCCUGUCCGCGGACGGCGCGGAGUGGGCUCUCCAGUCUUGGCCCUUUCUGUUCAAUCGUCCUCCUGCCAGGACGUCCCUCCUUUCCUGAUUUCCUUCCCGCUUAUUUGCUCUUAUUUUUGAUUUCUUUCUUGUAUAUUCCCUGAAGCGGUCCUGAUCCUUGAUUUUGUUUUGUUGGUAUUUCGAUUGCGGCCCUGAUUACCUUUGUGAUUCUGUUUCUUAAAUGAUAUAUUUCUUAUUGAUCCUAUCUCCCAUUCAAGCUGGGUUCCUAGUUAGGCCAUUUAUCUUCUAAAAAAAUGAAUUUUUUUUGGAAAUCAUCAUUGAGAAG
RNAcentral lists this small RNA (1213 nucleotides) under Drosophila ananassae. RNAcentral's name for it is "GF26624". The record is from RNAcentral. Lineage: Eukaryota; Metazoa; Arthropoda; Insecta; Diptera; Drosophilidae.